GCUUAACGCGAAGAACCUUACCAGGUCUUGACAUCCCAUUGACCGCUAUGGAGGCAUAGUUUUCCCUUCGGGGACAACGGUGACAGGUGGUGCAUGGUUGUCGUCAGCUCGUGUCGUGAGAUGUUGGGUUAAGUCCCGCAACGAGCGCAACCCUUGUUCUUAGUUGCCAUCAUUUAGUUGGGCACUCUAAGGAGACUGCCGGUGACAAACCGGAGGAAGGGUGGGGAUGACGUCAAAUCAUCAUCGCCCCUUAUGACCGUGGGCUACACACGUGCUACAAUGGACGGUAACUAAACGGUUGCCAACCCGCGAGGGGGAGCUAAUCCGAUAAAACCGUUCUCAGUUCGGAUUGUAGGCUGCAACUCGCCUACAUGAAGCCGGAAUCGCUAGUAAUCGCGGAUCAGCAUGCCGCGGUGAAUACGUUCCCGGGUCUUGUACACACCG
This 444-nucleotide ribosomal RNA is filed under the name uncultured bacterium. RNAcentral's name for it is "bacterial SSU rRNA". It matches the Rfam family "Bacterial small subunit ribosomal RNA", at positions 954 to 1392 of the family's 1533-position model. The record is from RNAcentral.